UACGUAGGGUGCAAGCGUUAAUCGGAAUUACUGGGCGUAAAGCGUGCGCAGGCGGUGAUGUAAGACAGUUGUGAAAUCCCCGGGCUCAACCUGGGAACUGCAUCUGUGACUGCAUUGCUGGAGUGCGGCAGAGGGGGAUGGAAUUCCGCGUGUAGCAGUGAAAUGCGUAGAUAUGCGGAGGAACACCGAUGGCGAAGGCAAUCCCCUGGGCCUGCACUGACGCUCAUGCACGAAAGCGUGGGGAGCAAACGGG
RNAcentral lists this ribosomal RNA (253 nucleotides) under uncultured bacterium. RNAcentral describes it as "partial 16S ribosomal RNA". It matches the Rfam family "Bacterial small subunit ribosomal RNA", at positions 524 to 776 of the family's 1533-position model. The record is from RNAcentral.